GUCCUCGUAGUACAAUGGAUAGUACGACGGCCUCCUAAGCUGUAAAUGCAGGUUCGAUUCCUGCCGGGGACGCCA
Molecule: transfer RNA, 75 nt
Filed under: Pseudomonadaceae bacterium
Lineage: Bacteria; Pseudomonadati; Pseudomonadota; Gammaproteobacteria; Pseudomonadales; Pseudomonadaceae
Description: tRNA-Arg
Rfam family: tRNA
About the family: Transfer RNA (tRNA) molecules are approximately 80 nucleotides in length. Their secondary structure includes four short double-helical elements and three loops (D, anti-codon, and T loops). Further hydrogen bonds mediate the characteristic L-shaped molecular structure. tRNAs have two regions of fundamental functional importance: the anti-codon, which is responsible for specific mRNA codon recognition, and the 3' end, to which the tRNAs corresponding amino acid is attached (by aminoacyl-tRNA synthetases). tRNAs cope with the degeneracy of the genetic code in two manners: having more than one tRNA (with a specific anti-codon) for a particular amino acid; and 'wobble' base-pairing, i.e. permitting non-standard base-pairing at the 3rd anti-codon position.
Source: RNAcentral